Molecule: non-coding RNA, 519 nt
Organism: Pelobates cultripes (western spadefoot toad)
Lineage: Eukaryota; Metazoa; Chordata; Amphibia; Anura; Pelobatidae
Source: the annotation of a GenBank genome assembly
CUGAUUAUCAGUUUACAAGGAAAGGCUUUAAUUGAUUUAUCUCCACAUGUAUUUUCUCUGUCAAAAUUUUCAAUCAACAAAUUUAAUUUCUCAUUUGCUUUUGAUUUGAUAUCUCGGAUAAAAUAUCUGCAAGAUCUUAAAUAAUGUUGUUUAUUGCACCAAAAACAAAUAACUUUAGGAGUUAUAUUUUGCCCUAUAUUAUCAACUCUACAGUUUUUAGUUGAAUAAAUUGGGAGGGGCUCAGCUGUCUGUAUCACUCUACACUCUGUCCUAGAAGAAGAAGGAGGAGGGCUGUAAAAUCUGCUCUUCUUUCUCUGCCUAAAUCCACAAGUCGUUUUAACCCCUUCAUUAUUGGUUUCUCUCCUUAAGUUAUCCAAGAACAAAGCUACUUCUGUCAAAGUGCUUUUUUCUCUAGCUAACACAAUUGCAGUUGGAUCUAGAUCUUGAAAUUUUUUCACAAAUUCAUUAAUUAACUGAUUCUCAGGAAAAUCAGCAACAAGUCUAUAUGCACUUUCAAAU